ACAACCAAAAUCACUGUGAAACCCUUCAGGGUCUUAGGCAGCCCUGAAAUAAAAUCCAUCGACACAUUCUCCCACUUCCACUCUGGCACACUUAAGGGUUGUAACAAACCUGCUGGUUUCUGUCUAGGUGCCUUAACUUGCUGACAUACUAGACACUAACUAACAAAUUCCGCCACUUCCUUUUCAUAUUCCGCCACCAAUAAAAUCGUUUUAGAUCCUGAUACAUUUUCGUGCUACCAGGAUGCAUUGGAAAUGGGGAAUUAUGGGCUUCAUCUAGUAAGUCAAUCUUAACUGUACUGUUCGCUGGCACACACAAACGUCUUUCAAACAUCAACCCACCAUCAGAGGAUAUGGAGAACUCAUCAGUCUGCCCUGUUUCAACAAGGCGACAUCUCUCCAUCAAAUAAGGAUGACUACUCUGAGCAUCAACAAUCUUCUGCCUUAGAGUCGGUUGCACCGUUAAUUGAGCCAACUGUGAGGUGACUCUCCCCACAGACACUGCAAUCUCAGCUCUCUCCAAGUCUCGAUGCAAUGGUACCUGUCUAGUAAUGAGUGCUGCCGAAUGUGAUACUUUUCUACUAAGAGCAUCAGCCACCACAUUCGCCUUACCAGGAUGGUACAAUAUCUCACAGUCAUAAUCUUUUACCAACUCGAGCCACCUUCGUUGUCUCAUAUUCAACUCCUUCUAAGUGAAGAAGUACUUUAGGCUCUUAUGGUCAGUAAAGAUUUGUAUCUUUUCACCGUACAAGUAAUGUCUCCAUAUCUUCAAUGCAAAAACCACUGCUGCCAACUCCAAAUCAUGUAUGGGGUAGUUCUGCUCGUGACUCUUCAACUGACGAGAGGCAUAAGCAACCACCUUACCUUUCUGCAUCAUAACACAACCCAGUCCUUUCUUGGAAGCAUCACUGUAAAUCACAAAACUUCCAGAUCCAUCUGGUACAGUAAGGACCGGUGCAGUAACUAACCUUUGCUUUAAGUUCUGAAAACUGUCCUCGCAAGCUGGACUCCAAACAAACGGAGUUCCCUUCCUUGUCAACUGAGUCAAAGGAGUAGCCAAACAUGAAAAAUCCUCCACAAACCUCCGGUAGUACCCUGCUAAACCCAGAAAACUACGAACCUCACCAACUGUAGAGGGUCGAGACCAACUGGUAACCGCUUCUAUCUUUGCAGGGUCUACUGAAACUCCCUCACUGGAAACCACAUGACCAAGAAAAGUGUCUAAGAAAUCCUUAAACACCCUGUUCAUCAAAUCCAUAAAUACAGCAGGUGCAUUAGUCAAACCAAAAGACAUUACUAUGAAUUCAUAAUGUCCAUACCUCGAACGAAAAGCAGUCUUAGGAAUAUCACGGUCUCUAAUCCUCAACUGGUGAUAACCUGACCAUAAUUCAAUCUUAGAGAACACUGUGGCUCCCUGUAACUGAUCGAACAAAUCAUCGAUUCUGGGUAAAGGAUAUCUGUUCUUGACUGUUACUUUAUUCAACUCUCUAUAGUCAAUGCAAAGACGCAUCGACCCAUCCUUCUUCUUCACAAACAAUACUGGUGCACACCAAGAUGACACACUAGGUCGAAUAAAGCCUUUGUCAAGCAAUUCCUGUAACUGUACCUUCAAUUCUUUCAACUCAGCAGGAGCCAUCCUAUAAGGGGCUCUAGAAAUAGGAGUAGUGUUUGGCUCCAACUCAAUGGCAAAAUCAACCUCUCUAUGUGGCGGUAGUCCUGGAAGAUCUUUUGGAAACACAUCUGGGUAUUCUCUUACCACAGGUUCUGAAGUUAAAGAAGUCUCACCUUCCCUAGUAUCCACCACACUUGCCAAAAUACUCCAAGUACCCUGGUUGAGUAGUUUACUAGCUUUCAUAGCUGAGAUUACUUUAGGCAGUACUACUGUUCCUACCCCCUUGAAUUUAAAGCUAGAUGCAGUAGGGGGACUGAACACAACUUCCUUACGAGAACAAUCAAUACUAGCAUGAUUAGUAGCUAGCCAAUCCAUACCUAAAAUUACAUCAAAGUCACACAUAUCUAAUACCAACAAGGUUACGUCCAGCACACGACCAGCUAUCUCAAUUUCACAUGCUUUAAUCUUUUCCUUAGACAACAUAAUUUCUCCAGACGGUGUAGACACUGACAAAACAUAGUCUAAGGGUUCCAUCUAAGCAUGCAUGCAUCACAAAAAGCGAUGAAAUAAAUGAAUGAGAAGAUCCCGAGUCAAACAAGGUCAAGGCAAAAUGCCCUAACACUGGUAAUGUACCUGUCACUAUUGUGCCGACCUUCUCUGCCUCUGAUCUAUUAGUGGCAAAGAUUGUACCACGCUGUGGAGGUCUCUCUCCCUGACUGCUCGAUCCAGCCCAGUAGAUCUCAAGGGACACCUAUCAGCCAUGUGUCCCUCUUGCUUGCACUUAUAACAGACUCUCGUUCCAUCAAACAACGACCCAGGUGGCGUUUCCCACAUGUAUUACAUACUGGCCUCUCUCGAGUAGUGUCUCCUGCACCGCCAGAACUCUGCUGGAAACUGCGAAAAGGAUCGCCUGGUCUCAAGUUCCUCUGAGGAACUCCUACAGUUCUCUACUCUACUUUUCUCUUUUGACCCGACGACGAUCCCUUAUCAAAGCUCCUUGGCUGUAUUUCAUCAUUCCCAAUGCUCAUAUCCACUGUCAGACGCAGUGCUUCAGCUUGGGUAGUGGGCUUUAGUGCUCGCACAAAGCCCCUAAUUUCAUCUCUCAAUCCCUUGACGAACCUAUCAGCUCUAGCCUGCUCAUUACUAACAAGCUCAGGGGCAAAACGUGACAGCAUAUCAAACUCCUGGUCGUACUCCUCGACUGUCAUAUAUCCUUGCUUCAACUCCAAGAAUUCCUGGCUUUUGGCGUCUCUAAGGUUAGCCGAGAAAAACUUGGUAUAGAACAGUCCUUAAACUGAUCCCAGGUAAUUUGCCUCAAUCUCCACCUAGCAUGCGCAUUGUAGUCCCCACCAGAUAAUGCCUCUGUCCCUCAGUAGAAAACAGCACACUGAACUCUGUGCUCCUCGGGACAUCUCAUGUAAUUAAAUAUGGUUUCCACAGAGGACAACCACAUUUCAGCUUUAGUAGGAUCCUCCAGUGACCCAUCAAACGUCUGAGGGUCAUACUUCUGAAAGUCCCUCAAAUGUUUCGCCUCAGCAGAAAGUUGGUUCGGUAAUCCUUGUGCACGAGGGGCUGCAGUGCAGGGGGAACUACAGGUGCAGUGGAACCGCAGGUUCCUGCUGGUUUUGAGCUAUAGCUGUCAUAAGUUUUGUAAACCUCUGCUCCAUGUGAGCAGACAGUGCAUCAAACUCAACGUGAGUCACGGGUGCAGCAGGAAUUCGCUGUUCAGCUUGACCCUCAGUAGGCUGAUUACGACCUGCGCCUCUACCUCGACCUCCUACUCCUCUACCUCGCCUCUACGACCUCCUCUACGUACACCCUCCUUGGCGGCAUAAUUCCUAUUAUCCACCAACAACACUCUUUAACAAAAUCUUAAUCAUAAGCAUAAGCAAGUCUUUAUCGUCAUGCAAUCUAGUUUAAUUUAGGCAAGGUCAUGCAAAUAAACCAUACAUAUAAGCAUCAAGCAUACCUGACGAGAGACGAAGGGUCGCGUUAGCCAUAGGAACACAAAAACAUAGACUUACAUCGUAAGUCAGUCUACAGAACCUAAAACUUAGGCUCUGAUACCAACUGUAACGACCAACUUUCUAUGUAAGUCGAGGUCGUUAUUAUUUUUUUUACACCUCACAAGAACCCAUAAGUGGAAGCAAAAACACGUUUCCUAUAGCAUCACGCUUCCUUCCUGCCCCUCGCCUGUUUGGCGCCUUUAUUACCUUUGCCUGAAAAUUAAACAUAAGAAGGGUUAGUAUUUAAAUACUCAGUAAGAGACCCUCUACUGGUCUCGUCAGGGGAAAAUAAAUUGUUAAAGUUCUAUUGGGACACCCUGUACAGUCGCAGUCUUGUGAUCCCGUAGGAUACACAUCUCAGUCUAACGCCUCGAGGGACGUACAUAUCAGUCUAACGCCCCGAGGGACGUACAUAUCAGUCUAGUGUUCUGCAGAAACACAUAUCAGUCAAAUGCUCCCGAAGGUGCACAAUAAAUUGGUGAUCCCGUGGGACACCUACAAGGUAAACAUCCCAAUACAAUCUAAAAAUUUUCCCCUCAUUCCAUUCAACCCAUCUUUCAGUUACUUCAAGUCACAAAGUUCUUUCUUUCAACAUCCUAACAGUCAACUUAUUUUACUACAGUCAUAUGUCUGUCAAUAAUAUGCUAAUACAUCAGUCAAUCCACUAUACAGUCAAUGCACCCCUCAGUUCACCAGCACACAGUCAUACUUUAGCGUAAUCAUACACCCAAUCUAAACGAGAAUCUCAUACAAACACAAUCUACAAUCUCCGUCCUGUCCAUAUACACACAUUUAUAUAUAGAUUCCAUGACAAUCACGACAUACAUUCGACGUCAAGUCUACUUCAAUUCAUAUACAUUCAUAUAUAUUUUCAGUCAACCCACAGUAUACAUUCAACACACAUACAGUUCACAAUCACAGUUCACAAUCACAAUUGAGUCCAGUAGAAAAUCCCUUACCUCGAUUUUAUGUAAAAUUUCUUGGUCGAACUAAUUCCAACAAACAAACCCCAAAGAGUAAAGAAUCGAAUUCCAACAAAGCUUAAGGCGUAACUCAAGGACAGUAACUCCAAAUCACCGAUGUCGCCUUCAAGAACAAACAUCAAUUCAACCAAUUAAACAAACAUCACAUCUUAAUGUAUUUACAAAUGUAAAACCUUAUUACCCAACAAUCUCAUCCUUACCAAUAACUUAUAACAAGACUUUGACAAUCAACGUUAAAAUAGAAGUUGCCGCAGCAGGAUCUACACAAAAGAAAUCGUGCAAACAAAUCUGCACGCGAAUCGGUCCACAAUUCGUAAAUGGACAGCGAGUAUCGACGAAGACAGAAUGGUUCGGACGUUCAACAGCAGUUACGCGCGGACGGGAGUAGCCCGGCAACGUAGCCGAACUCGUACGAUGCGGCGUGACCUGCGUCGGCGAGGCUGUUCGUGACUGAGGCGUGCGAUUUGCCUCGCGAACGGAGAUAGAGACGACGGCUGGGUUGGCUUCGACGGAGACAGGUGUUGCGCGGCAAAACUGGGCAGAGGCGGAAGAGCAACGGCAGUAACAGGUGGAUGGUCGUGGCAGUUUCGAUCCGAAGGAGAAAGAAAACGACCGGAAAGAAAAUAAGGGCGGCGGUUCCCGGGCUGCGACGCAGAUCUGGAUCAGACAGUUACGCGGCGGCUGCUGCAAGGCUGCUUCGCGAACGGAGAUGGAGAACGGAGUGGAGAAGAUGGAUAGGGGUCGCGGUCGCACGGGGAAGAAGAAGGGAGAAAAGAAAAGAAAAAGAAAAGAAGAAAAGAAGAGAAAAAAAUAAAGAAAUUUUUUAAUAUUAAAAUAAAAAUAAUAUAUAUAUAUAUAUAUAUAUAUAUAUAUAUAUAUUUACCUUUUCUUUGGGCAUUACAUAAUAUUACUUUAAUAGAAUUUAAUCCAUAUUUUCAUAGAAUAUUUAAUAAAUGAAAAUCUUAAACGUGGUUCACUUUUCUUUUUAUUUUUAAUAAUAUUAUUAAUAAUAAAAAGAGUAAAUUGGUUUAGAGGAUAUGCUACGAGCUUGUGUUAUAGAGAAUAUCAUACAUACAUAUUAACAUAUAUAUAUAUAUAUAUAUUUAGUUUUUAAAAUAAAGCAAUUCAGUUCGGUUUGAGAAUCGGUUCUUAACAUCUUAAACUGAACCGAACCGAAUUUUUAUGUGGUUUUUUUUAAAUAGAAAUCGAAUCGAACCGAACCAUAUGCAUUCGAUUUCGGUUCGAUUAGUGAUUCGAUUCAGUUUUCAACUUCAUUUUGAACACCCCUAUUACAGAUACUAGAGAAUAACAAAUAUUUUAAUGACAUAUAUUACAUAUACUCAUCAUAAUUAUUUCUCAUUCAUGUUCUUGUAAACAUAAACAACUUUCAUAUAUAAUUAAUAUUAUUUCAAACAUAAUGUAUUAUUUACUACGUAAGAUAUGAAUACUUAAAUAAAAUAAAUAAAUAAAUUGAUAUAAGAACAUUUCACUAAUAAAAUAUACAUUAUAUUAUUCAAUAUAUACUAUAAUUAUAUAAAAAUAUAUGAAAAAGAAUGCAAAAUAAAAAAUGACAAUUUUUUAAUAAAAUCAUAAAAAGCAAACUAAGGACAAUUUUUAUUAUUAAUAUUACUUUAAUAGAAUUAAUCCAUAUUUUCAUAGAAUAUUUAAUAAAUGAAAAUCUUAAACGUGGUUCACUUUUCUUUUUAUUUUUAAUAUAUUAUUAAUAAUAAAAAGAGUAAAUUGGUCAUUUUUACUCUAUAUUUGUAUAAAAUAUUAGUCAAUUUAUGAUAUUUUUGAAAAUUUUAAAAAAUUUAUUGCAAUUAAUUUUGUAACAUGGUAUACAAUUUUGAGUACACUUAGAUAAAAAUUCAAAAGAAAAAAAAUUUCACAUUAUAUAAGAUCAAGUCUAAACGGUAUAAAUUGAACCGCUGUUAAAACCGAAUAAACAAACCACACCAUUUAUGUACAAAACAAAAAACACAGUUUGUUGCUGGCUCAAAUAGUCCAAACCGAAUUUAAAUGGUUCGGCGUCUAUUUCAGCUUCAGUCUUCUGGAUUCAAGGAAAUUUUGAUCUUCCAAGUCUUCAAUAUUUCAGGAGAUGAUGAUCUCGAAGUUGAUAAAGAACUUGCACGUCUUGAGAGCUCUAUAGAAGUUUGAAUCUUCAAUUCUUCAAAGCUUCUGUACUUCAGAGCUUCAUUUCUUCCUUCAACAAAAGAUCUCUCGAAUGAAUGACAAAGGUCUCUAUUUAUAGAGAAAAUUUUGUGGACUUUAUGUGGGCUUGGACCCAUUUGCUUGUUGAGUUGUUGAGCUUGGACUUGGGCUUGGGCCCAUUUUCUUAGUGGGCUUAGGCCCCUUUAUUUGGCCUGAUUUUUUUAUCAGGGGCUUGAAUUGGGUUGGAAAACUUGACUACCCAAAUCCAAUCAAAUUAUAAUCAUCACAACUUGGGUGUGACGACGUGGUGUAAUUUCAUUGGUUGAAAUUUCUUGCUCAACAAUUACAUUUAUACUACUCCAUAAUACAUAUAUAUGUUGUUAGUCAUAUAAAAACAUUUACUGUAACGACCCAACUUUUCUAAGUAAGUCGAGGUCGUUAUUUUUUUUUUUUCAAAUAAAGACUUUGUUUAAUAUAAAACAAAACGUAAGCAAUUUAAAAAAAACAUCUUCAAGUCAGGCCUGAUUUUUAAAACAUUCAUAAAAUAAUACUAUUUACAACAAACGUUUGUAAACUAAAUUUCAAUCCAUUUUAAACCUCUCAAGAACCCAUAAGCAGAAGCAAAAACACGUUUCCUAUGGCAUCACGUUUCCUUCCUGCCCCUCGCCUGUUUGCCGCCUUUAUUACCUUUGCCUGAAAAUUAAACAUAAGAAGGGUGAGUAUUUUAAAUACUCAGUAAGAGACCCUCUACUCGUCUCGUCAGGGGAAAAUAAAUUGUUAAGUUCUAUUGGGUCAUCCUGUACAGUCGCAGUCUUGUGAUCCCGUAGGAUACACAUCUCAGUCUAACGCCCCAAGGACGUACAUAUCAGUCUAACGCCCCGAGGGACGUACAUCUCAGUCUAACGCCCGAGGGACGUACAUAUCAGUCUAACGCCCGAGGGACGUACAUAUCAGUCUAGUGUUCUGCAGAAACACAUAUCAGUCAAAUGCUCCGAAGGUGCACAAUAAAUUGGUGAUCCCGUGGGACACCUACAAGGUAAACAUCCCAAUACAAUCUAACAAUUUAUCCCUUCAUUCCAUUCAACCCAUCUUUCAAUUACUUCAAGUCACAAAGUUCUUUCUUUCAACAUCCUAACAGUCAACUUAUUUUACUACAGUCAUAUGUCUGUCAAUAAUAUGCUAAUACAUCAGUCAAUCCACUAUACAGUCAAUGCACCCCUCAGUUUCCAGCACACAGUCAUACUUUAGCGUAAUCAUACACCCAAUCUAAACGAGAAUCACAAGUUCAUAUCUACAUCUCAUACCAACACAAUCUAAAAUCUUCGUCCUGUCCACAUACACACACUUAUAUAUAUGUUCCAUGACAAUCACGAUAUACAUUCGACGUUAAGUCUACUUCAAUUCAUAUGCAUUCAUAUAUAUUUUCAGUCAAACCACAGUAUACAUUCAACACACAUACAGUUCACAAUCACAAUUGAGUCCAGUAGAAAAUCCCUUACCUGGAUCUUUAUGUAAAAUUCCUUAGUCGAACUAACUUCAACAAACAAACCCCAAGAGUAAAGAAUCGAACUCCAACAAAGCUUAAGGCGUAACUCAAGGACACUAACUCCAAAUCACCGAUGUCGCCUUCAAGAACAAAGAUCAAUUCAACCAAUUAAACAACAUCACAUCUUAAUGUAUUUACAAAUGUAAGACCUUAUUACCGAACAAUCUCAUCCUUACCAAUAUCUUGUAACAAGACUUUGACAAUCGACGUUAAAUAGAAGUUGCCGCAGGAUCUACACAAAAGACAUCGUGCAAAACACUUUUGCACGCGAACUGGUCCGCGACGGUGGGUAUCGACGAAGGCAGAACGGUUCGGACGUUCAACAGCAGUUACGCGCGGAUGGGAGUAGCCCGGCAACGUAGCCGAAUUCGUGCGAUACGGCGUGACCUGCGUCGGCGAGGCUGUUCGUGACUGAGGCGUGCGACUUGCCUCGCGGACGGAGAUAGAGACGGCGGGAGACGGUUGCAGAACCGUGGCUUCGACAGAGACAGAACCGGCUGAGACGGUUGGGCAGCGGCGGAAGAGCAACGGCGCCGCAGAUCUGGACUGGCAGCGGCGUGGUCUUGCUUCGCGGCAGGGCUGCGGACGGAAGAAGAAAAUGGAAGGAAAGGAUCGGCGGCUGGCUGCAGUUGGCUGCGGCGCGGACGGGAAGAAGAAGAUAGAGGUGGUGAUUGCGGCUGGGCUGCGGCUGGGCACGAACGGAAGGAGAAGAGGACGGUUAGGGCGGUUGCUGCACGAACGGAGAGAAGGGGAAGGAGGUCGCGGCGCACGGGAGGAAGAAGAAAAGGGAAAAAAAGAAAUUUUCAUUUUCUUUUUCUUUUUAUUUAAAAAAUAUAUAAAAUAAUUAUAAUAAAAAAUAUAUAAAUAUAUAUAUAUAUAUAUAUAUAUAUAUUAUAUAUUAAAUUUUCAUUUUCUUUUCUUUUAUUUAAUAAAAUGUAGAAUAAAUAUAAUAAUAAAAAUAUAAUUAAAUACAUAUAUAUUUAAUUAUAUUAAUACAUUUUCAAAUCUUCUUUCUCCCCUUCAACAUAUUUAAAAAAAAAAUCUUGAACAAAUCGAAAUAAUUCUCUCAAAAUAAUUUACCUUCAAGUUUGGGGCGUUACAUUCUUCCCUCCUUAAGAAACUUUCGUCCUCGAAAGUUCUAAUCCUGAAAUAACUCUGGAUAACGAGUCCUCAUCUCUUCCUCUCGCUCCCAUGUCGCCUCUUUAAUUCGAUGAUUCCGCCACAAAACCUUUACUAAUGGAAUGCUUCUAUUACAAAGCAUCUUUACCUCUCUAGCCAGAAUCUCCACAGGUUGUUCUACAUAGCUCAAAUGAUCAUCAAUCUCCAAGGGUUCAUAGUCCACUACAUGAGAUGUAUCGGCCACAUACUUCCUCAACAUCGAAACAUGGAAAACAUUAUGAACUGCAGAGAGUGAUGGUGGUAAUGCCAAGCGAUACGCCACAACACCAACCCUCUCUAAGAUCUCAAAUGGUCCAACAAAACGAGGACUUAACUUCCCUUUCUUCUCAAAAAUCAUAACACCCUUCAUAGGUGCUACCUUCAAGAAUACCUUUUCUCCCACAUCGAACUUAAGGUCUUUUCGCCGUACAUCUGCAUAACUCUUCUGUCUACUCUGCGCUGUUUGCAUACGUGCUCUAAUCUUUUGAAUAGCCUCAUUAGUAGACCGAACUAAUUCAGGUCCCAUCAACCUAUGUUCACCAACCUCACUCCAACAAACAGGGGUUCUACAACAUUUGCCAUACAAAGCCUCAAAUGGUGCCAUACCGAUGGUAGCCUUGAAACUGUUGUUAUAAGCAAACUCCAUCAAAUGUAGAUGAGAGUCCCAACUACCUGGAAACUCUAUAACACAAGCUCGUAGCAUAUCCUCUAAAACUUGGUUCAAACGUUCAGUUUGACCAUCAGUCUGUGGAUGAAAGGCUGUACUAAAAUCCAAUCUCGUACCCAUAGCAGUCUGAAGUCCCUUCCAAAACUUGGAAGUAAACCGUGCACCCUAUCAGAAACAAUCGAUACAGGCACUCCAUGCAGUCUCACAAUCUCAGUUAAAUACAACUCUGCCCACUUACUAGCAGUAUAAGUGGAUUUUCCUGGUACAAAAUGUGUCGAUUUCGUAAGCCUGUCUAUGACAACCAAAAUCACUGUGAAACCCUUCAGGGUCUUAGGCAGCCCUGAAAUAAAAUCCAUCAACACAUUCUCUCCCACUUCCACUCUUGCACACUUAAGGGUUGUAACAAACCUGCUGGUUUCUGUCUAGGUGCCUUAACUUGCUGACAUACUAGACACUUACUAACAAAUUCCGCCACUUCCCUUUUCAUAUUCCGCCACCAAUAAAAUCGUUUUAGAUCCUGAUACAUUUUUGUGCU
This 10655-nucleotide long non-coding RNA is filed under the name Cucumis sativus (cucumber). RNAcentral's name for it is "long non-coding RNA (CSAT_LNC002575)". Lineage: Eukaryota; Viridiplantae; Streptophyta; Magnoliopsida; Cucurbitales; Cucurbitaceae. The record is from RNAcentral.